Non-coding RNA from Manis javanica (Malayan pangolin), 757 nucleotides. The record is from RefSeq and is a predicted model, not a curated record. Lineage: Eukaryota; Metazoa; Chordata; Mammalia; Pholidota; Manidae.
GCUAUGAUUUCUGAGUGAAUUGCCCUAGACUCUGUCACUAACACCUUCCCAGUUCUGCGACUUCGAACUUUGCUCUCAAGAGCAAGAGGCCAGGAACCAUGGGGCAUGCUGCAGGUUCGCGUCCAGCCCUUGUCCGACCGCCUGCUUCUCUGGAUGGCUCUGGAAGGCAUGGUGGGCUUCCCUCCUAGCCCACUGGGCAGCUGUGACAUUCCUGGAAUUCAUUGAAUGUUUUGGUUUUAGAAGAAUCAGCUCUCAGGGACAGAAUUCUCAACAUUUCUAAUGGAGCUUCUGCUUCCCUCAGUUCCGUGAUGAUGUACGUCUUUCACAGCCAACUACUUUGUAAUGGCGCCACCUGAAGAGCAGUCCAAACAGAAAGAGAGCCUGAGCUGGGAAGGUGCCAGGCAGUUCUAGAAAAUGAAGAAAGGCCUGUGGAGCCGGAGCAUGGUAUGUCAAAGACUUGAAGGAUGAAGGUAUUGUCCAUACCCAGCUUUGGAAGAGCCUCCAUUAACAGUCAAUAGAAAGUAGUAAAUAAUAAUUUUUUUCAAAUUCAAAAUAAGAUCUGUAAUAAAUGUACCAAUUGGGGAUGGGGCCAUUUGACGUUUUGCCAGUUCCAGGAGACAGUUACUGGAAGUUGGGGAAACCAGCACCAAGUUUCUGCUUGACUCCAGAGAUGUUUCAGCAGCCCACGUGGCCUGGCACCUCAGAGAGGUAGCCUUCCAACCCAGGCUUGCCAAGGCUCUGGGAGGCAGAGUGAAAA